RNAcentral lists this non-coding RNA (22 nucleotides) under Arabidopsis thaliana (thale cress). The record is from RNAcentral. Lineage: Eukaryota; Viridiplantae; Streptophyta; Magnoliopsida; Brassicales; Brassicaceae.
GCGGGAAAAAAGUUCGGCGGGA